RNAcentral lists this ribosomal RNA (442 nucleotides) under uncultured bacterium. Its description in RNAcentral is "partial 16S ribosomal RNA". It matches the Rfam family "Bacterial small subunit ribosomal RNA", at positions 338 to 795 of the family's 1533-position model. The record is from RNAcentral.
CCUACGGGAGGCAGCAGUGGGGAAUAUUGCACAAUGGGGGAAACCCUGAUGCAGCGACGCCGCGUGAGUGAAGAAGUAUUUCGGUAUGUAAAGCUCUAUCAGCAGGGAAGAAGCAAGACGGUACCUGACUAAGAAGCCCCGGCUAACUACGUGCCAGCAGCCGCGGUAAUACGUAGGGGGCAAGCGUUAUCCGGAUUUACUGGGUGUAAGGGGAGCGUAGACGGUAUGGAAAGUCUGAAGGGAAAGCCCAGGGCUUAACCCUGGGACUGCUUUGGAAACUGUUAGACUAGAGUGCUGGAGAGGUAAGUGGAAUUCCUAGUGUAGCGGUGAAAUGCGUAGAUAUUAGGAGGAACACCAGUGGCGAAGGCGGCUGACUGGACAGUAACUGACGUUGAGGCUCGAAAGCGUGGGGAGCAAACAGGAUUAGAUACCCCUGGUAGUC